RNAcentral lists this small RNA (83 nucleotides) under Polaribacter atrinae. RNAcentral's name for it is "Flavo-1 RNA". It matches the Rfam family "Flavo-1 RNA". Lineage: Bacteria; Pseudomonadati; Bacteroidota; Flavobacteriia; Flavobacteriales; Flavobacteriaceae. The record is from Rfam by way of RNAcentral.
AAUUGGCUGCGUUAGUGAUUGAAGUGGCAUCCUUUUUUGUGUUUUUAUUAACAAAAAAGAUACAACGGAAAGCGCGACCUUUU